GGAUGUUGAAAGCUGUUUUCGAAAAGACCCCCUGUCCUGACUGGGAGAAGAUACAAGAGUUAGCGGCAAAGCUAUGUUUGGAUGAGUGCGUGAUCAAGACUUGGUUUAAAAACCAGCGUGCCAUGAAAAGGAAACAACAGCCAAGGGGUCACCAGUGCCACCCCAGGGAGUCGCCACCACAACCAGGAUCAGAGCUCAGCGCACCUUCGCAGGAAGAUCACGGCCCUGAGAGCUCCCAGGCGCAUGGCCCCGAGGCUGCCGAAGACCCGCUGCCCGCCGAUCUGCACAACAUCCAUCUGGACUCCUCAGCGCCCUGGGCUUCGCUUCCUCAUGACAUCGGGGAGCUCAUGCGCAUGUACCGCUUGUUCGAUGACGACGAACCAGACGACUAGCAGAUAUUUGAACCCCCCAGACUUCAAGGGCUGAAUUUUUUCCAGUCCUAGAAAAAAGAAAAAGGACGAAGCAGUCUGUAGGAGCCCCUGCCGGCGAUCUGGAGACAGCCCUGGAGGGACCACUCCUCUGCCUUGUUCUUUACAAAAGCAAACGUGCAGGUAGUUUGGGGGGAUAUCUGGGCUGGUCGGAGGCAUCACAGCCUGGAGGUUGGUUUUCUGUAGUGUGUGGACCUUUCAUAACGGUGAACUUAGAUACUUGAGAAGCUUUACAUAAGAGGAUUUAUGGGGUUCCUGAGGACAGUCAGGCGGGCCUCGUGACCUCCUAGCAGCCUUGGACAACAGCCACCACCAGAGUCCGGGGUCGCCACCACCGUGGAGCGCCAGGGGGCGCCAUCAUAGACAACGCGCAAGCCGGGCCGUGGCUGGAACUCUGCCUUUCAAAUCAAUCAACACAUCUGUACCAAAGAGUGUUUUUUAAAGAUUGAUUUUCUUGUUACCACCACAGUCACGCUAAUUAACAUACCACCUCCUCGAUUUCUUACGAUCUUUUUGAAGAAAGAUGAUUGUCUUUUCAGUUUUAAAGAUUGGAUUGAUUGGGGCCGGCUCUGUAGCACAGUGGGUUCAACCUCCAGCCUGCAGCGCCUACAACCC
Molecule: long non-coding RNA, 1043 nt
Filed under: Oryctolagus cuniculus (rabbit)
Lineage: Eukaryota; Metazoa; Chordata; Mammalia; Lagomorpha; Leporidae
Description: lncRNA (ENSOCUG00000036904.1)
Source: RNAcentral